This 264-nucleotide ribosomal RNA is filed under the name uncultured bacterium. Its description in RNAcentral is "partial 16S ribosomal RNA". It matches the Rfam family "Bacterial small subunit ribosomal RNA", at positions 793 to 1055 of the family's 1533-position model. The record is from RNAcentral.
GUCCACGCCCUAAACGAUGUCAACUGGGUGUUGGGGAAGCGAUUCCUCAGUACCGUAGCUAACGCGUGAAGUUGACCGCCUUGGGAGUACGGCCGCAAGGUUAAAACUCAAAGGAAUUGACGGGGACCCGCACAAGCGGUGGAUGAUGUGGAUUAAUUCGAUGCAACGCGAACAACCUUACCUACCCUUGACAUGUCCUGAACCCCACUGAGAGGUGGGGGUGCCCGAAAGGGAAUCGGAACACAGGUGCUGCAUGGCUGUCGU